CACGAUAAGGGCAAACCCUGAGUGAUCAGGGGACGCAAAGUAAUAGGGUCUUGAGAAUGACAAGGACGUAGUUUGCAGAGACUUGCUUGCGGAUGAAAAGACAGCCUUACUGCCGAAG
RNAcentral lists this non-coding RNA (118 nucleotides) under Candidatus Brocadia. RNAcentral's name for it is "c-di-GMP sequence". It matches the Rfam family "c-di-GMP-I-GGC riboswitch aptamer". The record is from RNAcentral. Lineage: Bacteria; Pseudomonadati; Planctomycetota; Candidatus Brocadiia; Candidatus Brocadiales; Candidatus Brocadiaceae.